This 7280-nucleotide long non-coding RNA is filed under the name Homarus americanus (American lobster). RNAcentral describes it as "uncharacterized LOC121856505". Lineage: Eukaryota; Metazoa; Arthropoda; Malacostraca; Decapoda; Nephropidae. The record is from RNAcentral.
CUGGCUCAACACCAUCUGACUCUACACCACCUGGCUCUACACCUUACCUCAACACCAUCUGACUCUACAUCACCUGGUUCAACACCAUCUGACUCUACACCACCUGACUCUUAACACCACCACUUGGCUCACACAAGUCUGAACUUUUUUAAAGUGAUAAUUGAUUCUAUGAUGGCAGUACAGUACAGAUCACACUACACCCACAAGAACUGAAACACGCCUCAUGAGUUGAGAGGCUACCAACUAAGCCAUUAACUCUAUAUUAUCAUUAAUUAACAACUAUACAUUUUGAGACUAAUCCUUAAUUAUAUAAAAAUGGUUAUUACUGUUGUAUGGCUGCACAUCAAUGACCAUAUCACUCGGUAAAAGCACUAAGAAUGAGCUACAGAGAUAAUAACAGAUUUGAUUUAUACUGUCAUGUCACUGUAACAUCCUUAUAACCAAAAUUAAUUCACUUUACCCAAGCUGUCAUCCUUUUAGUAUACAAGUUUCACUUAUAUUAGUUUUUGAGAUACUUUUGUGAAAGUAUGCUAACAUAACUUAGCAUUUAAACCAAUUACAAGAGCUUCAUUUCUUUAAUGUAACAAUAAUCAUCAAUGUGACAGCUUGUUCCUCAAACCUUUGAACUUAUCAUUCCCAAAAUCUAUCAGCUUCUUCCUUUACCUAUAAGAGUUUUGUGUAUGGUCUUACUGAAAUACCCAAAGAAAAAUUUUUUUUGUACACAUGGUGAUGCCUACAGGAGAACAAUGCUGUAUGAUAAUUACUGUAUUUUCCCUGAACUUAUUUCAAGUGCAGAAAUUUAAAAAACAUUAGAUCUCUUUAACAGUACUGUAUUGUGUCUGGAAGAUAUACACCACACUGUGAUGCUUAUGUACUGACAUUUGCAUCUGGGUAUUUACUAAGAAUUACCAACGUUGAGCACAGGUAAUAUGCAUAACCACAGAAGGGUUUAAGUAUAUGAGCCACAUAAACUACCUGAUGGUAGCUGUUCUGUUGGUAAAACCAGAAUGGGAUGUUCCUACCCCUCACCACUAUAAACCCAAGGCACCAGCCAAGAAAAUGCAGCAGAGACCAGAGGAUGGACACACCUCAGAUAACUCAGUUGCCAUCAGGUAUGUUGAAGUAAAGUUUUGUUGCUGGAUGCCCUUCCUAACAGCAACACACAGGGUGAGAACAGCUGGCAAGGCAGGGUCGCAACUCCCUCAGGUAAUCACACUACCCGCCUACCUGUACAUGUAUGGGUACACUAAUUUUUCUCUCCACACUAAAUCAUUAAACGGUUAGUCUCUUAUACAUAAAGUACUACUGUACUUUGGAAAUAGCUGUUUUUACCUAAUUAGCCUAGUUACUAAACAUUUAGAGAAAAUAUAUUUACAGUACUAUGACCUUUACACCCCUAACAAGCUUCCCUUCUGACUUCCUAAUGAGAAAGUAGUUAAUCUAGGUUUUUAUGCCACCUGACUCGUAUGCAAUUUGACUACUCACCCACUUCUUAAAUAACAUGCUGCAGAUGUCCAUGUUCUCCAUCACAGAAAAUCAAUGAUCUUUGGUCAGCUUACAUGGGAGACUUCAUGAGUGAGGCCUCCCUUCCCCUGGCCUGUCCAUAUAUGAGGAUUAUCUCUACCAGCAACCUACCUUUCAUGGUUAGGUAACAUUUCUCAUCUAACUGAGGGUCGAACACAUCAAAACUUGCCACAAUAAAGAUUAAUAAUGAACUAGAACAAGACACAACUAAAGUUUCCUUCCAGUAAGUCAAAGUUAACUUUCAUUAUGUCAGUGUUAAAUUCAUACACCCUCCACUAAGUUAAUUAACAUAUGGGCAAUAAACCACAAAGUAUCCAAAUGAUGCUCUACACCAACUCAUCUCCACCUGUAAAUGUUACAAGCAUUAAAACACUUUAUUAUAUGAAAUAUUUAUUAAAAAUAACAUCUAUUAUGUAUACAACAAACAUUACACUUGUUUUAAUAUUCAACUUUCUUUUUUACAAGAGAAACAACCAGUAUCUGAUACUGUACACAUAAAACUUAUAUCAGUCUCAUAAUAACUAGUCUAUCUUAUGUUAUCAUCAAGCUCCACAUUAACAAAGUUCACCGUGGGUUUAUGCCUUACAAGUGCAAGUUUUGCUCCAAACAGUUCAAGUGCCAAUCCAAUCAUAAAGAACACGAGGCGAGACACCGGGGACUUCGAGUGCGGCCUGAAGUUCGCCAUCGGGUCGUCCCUGGAGCACCACGGCGCGGACCGGCCGUUCUCCUGCUAUCGCUGCGGCAAAACCUUCAAGGCCAAGACUCAUUUGGAGAGGCACGUUAAAUGUCUGCACCUACAGGAGAAGGUGGUGUGUGUGUGGUGCUGCUCACUUCAACAACUGGAACCUGAAGGUGCACAUGAAGAUGCAUCAGGUAUCAGCUCAAGACAAUGGCCGCAUCUGUAACAUAUGCAAGUGUAUCUUUAGGAAUAAGUCCGGCCUUAUGGUACACAUGCGUAAACAACACAACACUACAGCCCUCCGUUCACCACACAAACCCGACGCACAGACUGACGCGGCUCACAUUGACACCAGACAAGACGGCUCACACAGGCACGGCUCACACUGACAAGACAUGGCUCACACAAACAAGACGGCUCACACAGGCACGGCUCACACUGACACCAGACAAGACACGACACGCUGACACCAGACAAGACCAACUGACCACAGACGGUACUUUAGAGUUAAUGAACGAGGAUCCAUCUGUCACAGGAGACAACAUAACAACUAUAGUCAUACAAGAUGGAUCUUUACCACAGUUCAGUGAUGGGUGUCAGCCAGAGCUCAUCUAUGACAACUUCUGUCAGGACACCUCCAUGCAUACCUUUGAGUUGUAUCCUUGUGGCGAGUGUGUGGUGGUGUUCCAGUCUGAGGACGAUCUAUUGACUCACCACCACACACUAUGAGGGGUGACUGUUGGUGGUCUAGACACACACUCAAAUUCAUUUUAUAGAGAGGUCGGUUUCAGUAAGUUAGAGGAAAUGGGAUAACGGAGGUGUCUUUGAAGUGAUGAGAAAACGGACUCUUCAGAUGAAGGACUCCAAAUAAAGCAGAGUCACAUGUUUUGUGAGCUAUUGAGCGUAAUACGAAUAAUUUGAUUUUGGCGUUAACUGACGUGUAUGACCGUGGUCGUUACACCAAGAUUAGUUUAAACCAGUGAAGAUGGAACUAUAGUACAGGGCCACUCUGGAUACGAGAAUGUGUACUUUGAAAGAUUGGAAAGUAAAAACCCACACAUUAAUUUCGUCAUUUGUCCAUUGGGUUAGGUUGUGAAGAAGUAGCACUAUUUUAAGAUGAAUAGAACGGUAUUUCCCGAAGCGUUUAACAGCAUCAAGUACAGUACAAUAUUUGAGAACCAUUUCUGGACAAACAGCAGACGUAGUAGAGAUUUUAUUAUACUCUGGGUUUUGAUUCAGUAAAAGCAAGGAUUUAGAUUAUUCCAUAAAAUAUAAAUAGAAUAACUUUAUUGGUUACAUAUACUGUAUAUUCAAUAUGUACACGUUUGACUUUACUUACACAGAAUGUAAUGCAAUACAGCUCACGACCCACAAAAGGGGUAGUAGAAAUAACAAAGACGCUGGAAAGCAGUUUCUUGAAGAGACAAAUUGCUUGUAGUUUAACACUAGAAAACUCCCUCAAAAGCUGUGGGAAGGAUCCACUAACCGCGGUAGAACCGAGUAGGAAAGUAAUUGUUGCGAUGGAGUUCUCCAGCAACAGGUAAAAACCCAAGACAACGUUUGUAAAAGCUCCUAAUUGUUCUUGUGGUCACACUGCAGCUCCCUCGGUCAUAUAGGGUUCACGGUCGUCUAAGGAGCGUGUUCUAGAAAUAGAGUAAAAAGCAAGAAGAUUAAUGAAGUGUUAGCCUGGCGGAAUAGUUUAACGCAAAAUUUAUGUAAAAUGCUUAAUUAAAUUAAUAUCAAGACUACUAAAAUUUACCUUUUCUUGUCAAGAUUAAGUUCAAACAAUAACUUCCCAUUCACCAACAAAUAAUUUACAAACAAAAUUUUUCAACAUACACUUACACUACUGUACAGCAGAUGUUGUAGCGUCGUCAUGUACCAGUGUUCUGUGUUCACGUCCGUCUACCAGGCUUUAUAUACAGGCGGCCCACACUCCCUGACCAAUCACAAGCUGUUUUAGGUUAAGUUUUAGCCAAUGGGAACAUUCCCUUGUUAUGACGUCAAAGUGACAUCAUGCCGAAGCUAAACGCCGGCAAUGGUUGUUUGAUGACGAGUAAACGAUUGAAACUUUAUUGUGACAAGAAAGAAGUGUAAAACGUGAAAGGCAAAUAUUAUGAAAUGGUAUGCACCGCUUUACUUAUCUUGGAUAGAAAUUGUGAAUAUAUUACAAGAGCAGCAAUAUUGGCCUCAGACAUUGUUAAGAGACAUAUACAAUAAAAUAGUACUAUUGUAAUCUAAAAAAAGUCAUACAAUUAAAUAGAAUAGCCUAAAAAGUUAAUAUGACGAAUAAAAUAAGAUGACAAAGUACAGUGAUAAAGAGAGAAAAAUAAACCACUGAGUUAAUAUUAACCUUUACUUGAAAUUGACCAGAAACACUAAAAUUAACAAAAGACAGACAUAUGUUACAAGAAUGGAGAAGAAAACCUACACGUUACAACAAAGUAGAGUAGAGUGGUGAGCAGGGCCGGGAGUGGGCAGUUGGGGCCUCCACAUAUUACAAUAUUUUAUGUAUUUGUUUAAUCAUUUGGAUUCUUUGUAAAUUUCAUUCUUUAAAAUUCAUGUUUAUCACGUGAUAGAAGUUAGACUAGCUAAUACUUGAAAUUGACGAAUAGCUGGUUUUCCUAUGAACCGUAUAUUUUUAAUGAAUGCUAUUGUUUGUGUUGCUAAUAAUAUGAUAUUUUGAAUUGCGGAACUCGUAGAUGUUUAGGUUCGCUUCACUCGCUACUCCACCCUCUUGGGGUAGUUAUAAUGAGGGGAAUUAUUAUAUAACAUUUAGUAUCAUGUGGAUUAGUAGACGUAACAUUGUUAUAAUUAAGUUAUAAAUAUACUAUACUGUACGUAAAGUAUUUUACGGUAAACAUUACUCGGGUCGUGACUUGACCGGUGAUAGUUGUCACCAAGGAAUGGAGAUGUAGGGUAUCUUGUUAUUUGCAUCUUGGAAGGAAACUUUAUUGACUACGAUACUGCCACUGUAGGCUGUGAGUUGCUAUCAUAACUUUUUGGUUUGGUAGCUUAUCACAAAUUGUGUGGUCCCUAUGGUGUAAAUACCCAAGAGCAGUUUAUGUGGGAUAAUCCCCUCGUUUGGUUGUGACGGUGAUGACCGGAGAAGAAGUUCGGUUGAGCAGCGAGUCGGCGUCAAGGUGGGGUAUAUAAAGGGUGAACCGGCAAGGAUGCAUCAGUUACAAUCCGAUCCUUGUGUCUGGUGCUCGUGUAUAACGACAUAACAAAGUGUAGUUUGUGAAGAAGAAAAGAAAAGUAAAGUAUAGUAUAUAUAUAUAUUCGUGUUUUGACAUUUGUUCGUUCGGCUGUUAGUUUUGUGCUUUCGAUAUGUUUUCUUAAACAUUUUUCUGUGCUUUUUAACACAAGUCAUAGAUGUAUUUGAUUUGAGGCCUGUGAAACAUAUUUAAGAUCUGUGUUUGUGGUUAACUUGGGAGCUUUUGAAGGUGUUCAUAAUUCAAGUACUCGGAGUACAGAUUAUUUAAGUUGAAAUGGUAGUUUAAUUGAAAUAAAAUCCUUUAAGUGUGUAUCGUGCUAAGUGUUUGAAAAAGUUAAUAGUGUAUUUUGUGAAAUUGGCGGAAUAUGUUGCGUUUUUGCAAGAAAUCGUGUUGUCAUUUCGUUGAUGAGUGACGGAAAGUGAAUUCAUGAGCAUGAAGAUUGUGUAGUAAGUUCAUUAUUGAAAUAUUCUCUCGACCUGAAGUUGUUUGGAUGCGAACUUCAAUGCAGUUUUAAGUGAUGGUGGUGGAAUCUUGAAAAUGAGUGAGAAGAAAAGAAAGCUGUAGCAUUUAUGUGUGCCUUAGCUUGGACAGUUCAUAGUGAUAAGUGAUCGUGGUGGAAUCGUGAAAAUGAGUGAAAAGGAAAAAAGAUGCAGCAUUUGUGUGUGCCAAGUAGUAAAGCAUACUGGUGUGUGCGUGUGUUUUGAUGCGUAUAGUAGAAGAUUGGAGGUGUUGUGCUUAUAGUGAUCCCUUCAACCGGAGAAGUAGGUAAGAAAAUAAAUCUUCCGCCAGCGACCUUUUGGUAAACGAGGGGUGAGGGCAGGUAAGUGACUAUGGAUGUUGAGAGUUUAUUUAGCGAGGUAAAGAUAGGGAUUUGACAUGAGCGUUAAGUUUGAGCCAACUAGCGUGGGAAAGGUUGAUUUUUGCAGAGACGUGACCGGCACAGAGGUAGAGCCAGAAUUUAGAGUUUAGGUGAAUGAAAUUUUUGAAUGGGUGUUGUGUUUGUGCUGUUAUAUACUGGAGGCUAUAUAAUGGUACUACACUCUCGGUUGUGUGUGUGUGUGUGUGUUUAUGGUCGUAUUUUGUUGUCGUAGAUAGAGGCGAGGUAAGGUGGUAGUGUGCCGUCUGUUAUGGUUCAUGUGUUAGUUUUAUACGCAGACUACAGUGUUAUUAAUUGUUAUUGUGUAUGUGCUCUUGUUUCAUUAAUUUAGACUUGCUUGUUGUAAAUUUUCAAGUUGAGUGGUAAGUACUGUUUUCUGAAAUUGUUUAUUAUGGUAUAUGUGAAUUCAUUGUAAUUUGACAUUGAUUGCUGUCGGAAAGUCAUAUUUGAUUUGUUGCCAUAGAAUGUAAUAUAACGUCAAAAUAGUAGUUAAAUUUGGUUAGUGUUAGAUGGGUUUUGAGAAAGUGAUUGAAAGCUGAACCUUGAUGCCUUUUAUUGCAGGUGUACGGAAGGCUUAUACUGUGGAAUAGAGAAGAGAACGUGGCCUAAGUUUGUAGGUGGUGGCGAGCGCGUCUACACUUGCGGUGAGGAAAUCGUCAACAUGGUUGUUGUUGGAGGUGGAAGGAGCCGGUAUUUUUUGAGGUAGACUAGGGAAUAGUGAUGGGUUGGUGUCGGUUCCCUAGUGCAGCCAAAAGUGCCUAGUUUAUAGUAGACGGGCAAGGGGAGACUUAAGUGAGGUGUAUAAACCUGUGAAAGGGCACUACUUAGUCGAGGAACCGUAGCUGACUGACGCCCGCCUCACAAGGGGUCACAGCCGAAGUGGGGGCGCCGGCGGUAGUGCGGUACCGCUCUCGCCUCGCAAGCGAGACGUCUUGGGUUCGAUUCCCGGGCCGGUGGAAAGUGGGUUGGACACACUUCCUAG